Molecule: ribosomal RNA, 567 nt
Filed under: uncultured archaeon
Lineage: Archaea
Description: bacterial SSU rRNA
Rfam family: Archaeal small subunit ribosomal RNA
Source: RNAcentral
CGGGGUGCAGCAGGCGCGAAAACUUUACAAUGCGGGAAACCGUGAUAAGGGGACACCGAGUGCCAGCAUCAUAUGCUGGCUGUCCGGGUGUGUAAAAUACACCCGUUAGCAAGGGCCGGGCAAGACCGGUGCCAGCCGCCGCGGUAACACCGGCGGCCCGAGUGGUGAUCGUGAUUAUUGGGUCUAAAGGGUCCGUAGCCGGUUUGGUCAGUCCUCCGGGAAAUCUGACGGCUCAACCGUUAGGCUUUCGGGGGAUACUGCCAGGCUUGGAACCGGGAGAGGUAAGAGGUACUACAGGGGUAGGAGUGAAAUCUUGUAAUCCCUGUGAGACCACCUGUGGCGAAGGCGUCUUACCAGAACGGGUUCGACGGUGAGGGACGAAAGCUGGGGGCACGAACCGGAUUAGAUACCCGGGUAGUCCCAGCCGUAAACGAUGCUCGCUAGGUGUCAGGCAUGGCGCGACCGUGUCUGGUGCCGCAGGGAAGCCGUGAAGCGAGCCACCUGGGAAGUACGGCCGCAAGGUUGAAACUUAAAGGAAUUGGCGGGGGAGCACAAGGGCGAUUCGCG